This 458-nucleotide ribosomal RNA is filed under the name uncultured bacterium. RNAcentral describes it as "bacterial SSU rRNA". It matches the Rfam family "Bacterial small subunit ribosomal RNA", at positions 1017 to 1482 of the family's 1533-position model. The record is from RNAcentral.
CCUUCGGGAGCUUUUAUACAGGUGCUGCACGGCUGUCGUCAGCUCGUGUCGUGAGAUGUUGGGUUAAGUCCCGCAACGAGCGCAACCCUCGUCACUAGUUACUAACGGUUCGGCCGAGGACUCUAGUGAGACUGCCUUCGUAAGGAGGAGGAAGGUGAGGAUGACGUCAAGUCAUCAUGGCCCUUACGGCUAGGGCAACACACGUGCUACAAUGGCCAGGACAGUGAGAAGCGAUACCGCGAGGUGGAGCAAAUCUAUAAACCUGGUCUCAGUUCGGAUUGUAGUCUGCAACUCGACUACAUGAAGCUGGAAUCACUAGUAAUCGUAGAUCAGCUAUGCUACGGUGAAUACGUUCCCGGGUCUUGUACUCACCGCCCGUCACACCAUGGGAGUUGAUUUCACCCGAAGCGGGGAAGCUAAACUGGCUACCCUCCACGGUGGAAUCAGCGACUGGGGUG